ACUGAAAUCAGAAUAUACAGAAAGCUGUUCACUCCACCCAAGCCUAGGAGGGCUUUUCCACCAACCUCAGAGGAAAAUCUGCAGAACAUAUUCAAAAGUGUUCCAAAUAUCUAUUGCUGAGUCACAAAUCACCCCAGAACUUAGUGAACUAAAGUUCACAACAGCAAUCCUUUUAUUAUCUCUCGUAGUUUCUGAGGUCCAGGAAAUCAGGAUGGGCUCAGUUGGGUGGUUCUGGCUCAGGAAGGAUCUCAUAAAGUUGUAGUCAGAUGGAGGCUGAUGUUGGAAUGGCUCAAGACUGGAACAGCUAGGGAUGGCCAAGUGUCUCUCUUCAUAUAGUCUCAGGGCCUCUCCAUGUGGUCUCUUCAUGUGUGACAGCUUGUGCUUCCUAACAGCAUGGCAGCUUGAGGAUGGCUAGUCUACUUAUAUGGCAGCUCGGGCCUCCAAGCUAUGAGCAAGCCACAGGCCCAACAGAUUCAAAGACACAGGACAC
RNAcentral lists this long non-coding RNA (490 nucleotides) under Pan troglodytes (chimpanzee). RNAcentral describes it as "long non-coding RNA NONPTRT001784". The record is from RNAcentral. Lineage: Eukaryota; Metazoa; Chordata; Mammalia; Primates; Hominidae.